Molecule: long non-coding RNA, 599 nt
Filed under: Pan troglodytes (chimpanzee)
Lineage: Eukaryota; Metazoa; Chordata; Mammalia; Primates; Hominidae
Description: long non-coding RNA NONPTRT000415
Source: RNAcentral
GUUUACCUUAAAAUGUCACCUGAUGUUAGUUGUCCCUCACUGAUUCAAGUAAUUUCCUUUAUUGAGGUGGAUCUGCCUGUUGGUGGAGAACCCUAGACUGCAUGCAGCCAUGCACAUGAUCUGGAGACACAGCAGAGACAAGGUCUUUGUCUGUUGCUCAGGAUGGAGUGUAGUGGUGCCAUAGCACACUGUAAUCUUGAAUUUCUGGACUACUGGCAUACACCACCAUGCUUAGGUUCGGGCCACAACAUCCGUGACUUUACCGGUUUUGGUCUCUUCCUUGUAACCUUCGGCUCCAGGAUGCUGCGCAGUUCCUCUCUGCACUAUCUAUCAGAAUGUUGCUCUGCGUGCUUGAAAGUUUCACCAAACAGAAGUACACAAGAACAAACAGAGGUGAAACACAAAUCCCCUCAGCCCUGGAGGAAAAGGCCUUGAAGCUCUUCCAGUGCAGAGGCCACGCAGAGGACAUGCUCCUACCUGUGCACAUCAGCCACGCCUGGGGUGCCUCCUGGAGUCCAGACUGCUGGCGAUGGAAUCCAUCAUGUUGCUGAUGUCACUGUAAGUCGCAGCCUGCAGGCUGAGCUAUGGGGCAGUUUGAG